UGUCCAGGGAUGGGAAUCGAACCCAUAAUGUUCCGCUUACCGGGCAGAUGUCAUGUCUACUAGGCUAUCCUGGAC
This 75-nucleotide transfer RNA is filed under the name Cordylochernes scorpioides. Its description in RNAcentral is "tRNA-Thr". The record is from RNAcentral. Lineage: Eukaryota; Metazoa; Arthropoda; Arachnida; Pseudoscorpiones; Chernetidae.